UACGGAGGGUGCAAGCGUUAUCCGGAUUCACUGGGUUUAAAGGGUGCGUAGGUGGGCAAGUAAGUCAGUGGUGAAAUCUCCGGGCUUAACCCGGAAACUGCCAUUGAUACUAUUUGUCUUGAAUACUGUGGAGGUCAGCGGAAUAUGUCAUGUAGCGGUGAAAUGCUUAGAUAUGACAUAGAACACCAAUUGCGAAGGCAGCUGGCUACACAAAUAUUGACACUGAGGCACAAAAGCGUGGGGAUCAAACAGG
RNAcentral lists this ribosomal RNA (253 nucleotides) under uncultured bacterium. Its description in RNAcentral is "partial 16S ribosomal RNA". It matches the Rfam family "Bacterial small subunit ribosomal RNA", at positions 524 to 776 of the family's 1533-position model. The record is from RNAcentral.